This 254-nucleotide ribosomal RNA is filed under the name uncultured bacterium. Its description in RNAcentral is "partial 16S ribosomal RNA". It matches the Rfam family "Bacterial small subunit ribosomal RNA", at positions 524 to 776 of the family's 1533-position model. The record is from RNAcentral.
CACGUAGGGUGCGAGCGUUGUCCGGAAUUAUUGGGCGUAAAGAGCUCGUAGGCGGUGUGUCGCGUCGGCCGUGAAAACCUGCAGCUUAACUGUGGGCUUGCGGUCGAUACGGGCAUCACUGGAGUUCGGCAGGGGAGACUGGAAUUCCUGGUGUAGCGGUGAAAUGCGCAGAUAUCGGGAAGAACACCUAUGGCGAAGGCAGCUCUCUGGGACGGUACUGACGCUGAGACGCGAAAGCGUGGGGAGCGAACAGG